GUUGUUUCUUAUUAUUGAUCUGAAGUUGGCAAGUCAACCAGCUGUUUCAUGCUUACAUGUGCAUGUUGAACUCUAUAUGUCUUGCAAAAGUAAUUGGAUCAGUUUGAAGCUGUUUUGGAUUACAUUCUGAGGCAGCUAUAGGAUAUUCAAACAAAACUUGACUAUUCUUUUGUAGCGAUUUUAAUUAAGAAAUUUUAUUGACCCUUAUUAUUUCCAAUCUUGGAAAGAGUUGUCUGCUCUGUACCUAAAUCAACCAAAUUCCAAUAAUUAAGGCCAUUGGUAAUAAAUAUUUAGCAAUAGCCAAUAAUAAAAUAAAGCAAAACCAAAGCCUGAAAUAUAUUAGGCUGAAUUUUUACUCUACCUGUUGAACACAUUUUGUGUUUAGAAAUGUCACAUGGACUUAUCUGUGUUCGAUUGACCAGAAAAUGCAACGAAGAUGAAAACUAUUUCUAACAACCUUUAUACCUUGGUUACUGGGGACAUGGCUGAAGUUGGUAUGACCUCACGCCCAGAGCGUCAGAAAUGUCCCGUUCACUCCUGUAUCGUAACCACGUUGGAUUGUCAUGAGGACUUUGCUUACAGAAUUCACACCUUGAUUACUUGAGCACAAGUGAUGUGCGAAUAGCAAAGAUUAUGCUCAUAAGGCACCAGAAAUGCCCCUUGAACAUAUUGUAUCCGCGCCCGAUUGGGGGACAAAUGCAACGAAGACGAUGAUUCCGCUAACAAGCUUUACACCUUGGUUUCUUAUUUCCCUGUUGCUACAUUUAAGGGACUUAACACCGUCAAUGUUGACGCUAAUCAAUAAACCGAACAUAUUAUAUAAUGGGCUUUAGAUGUAGUCCUUAUAAAGUUGUGGAUUUGUUAGUGUUAGUUUUUCCUAAAAUGGCUGUACCUGUUUUAAAGAUUUGUGUUUACGGACUCCUAAAAAUUACAAUGCGUUGUAUUGUAACCGGUCAGCUUGUGUCUUUUCAUUGGUUAGCAGCAUGCCUCCUUUAGCACAUUGAAAGGGCGACUAAUAAAUUACAAACCUACCUAA
Non-coding RNA from Ciona intestinalis (vase tunicate), 1036 nucleotides. The record is from RefSeq and is a predicted model, not a curated record. Lineage: Eukaryota; Metazoa; Chordata; Ascidiacea; Phlebobranchia; Cionidae.